ACCCGGGCAGUGCAAGCCGGGCAGUCCUGCCCGACACGAUACCGCUGCUACGCUUACGGAUUCUGUAUUAUACGAAUACUCGUAUAUUGGACCUAUUAUAUACUCUUGAAAUACAUUUCAAGCAAUCGGGAUAGCAGUUGACUUUAAUCGUUCUCCUAUUAAAAAGAAGAUUCGCGUGAUAUAACUUUUUGUUAAAAAGAGAAGGUGAACGAAAAGUUGAAGAGAAUUGUGUUAUCUCGUUGUCAUUCGAGCAAAGGCAUACAUAUACGGUAUAUAAUAGUCCGUCUACUGGUACAUAGAGAGAAAGUAUAAAUAUAUCAGAGGAUUGAGAGAGCGCGCCUACGUGAAACGGUGAGACGCACGCACUCCCCCACCUAAAACUCUCGCACAGGAUCCUCUAUCGCUGCAAGUAACAGGGCAUGGUGCUUGGAUUCUACUGGGGCAGGACGCAAGGAAGAGGUCAGGGUCGUAUUCCAGAGGUAGCCUUUCUCAGUAGCGGUUAAAAAGCCGGACAAAUAAAAUCCAAAGAAGAAAACGAUAAAAGUAUAGUGACAAAUAGAGAAAGAAUAUUUCAACGGAUUUUUUUAUUUAAAAAAAAUAAAGAAAGAAAUAAAAGAAGUCGAAGAAAAGAUUAAGUAAUGUCCUCGUUGCUGAACGUCGAGCCUGGUGGCUCACAAUUAAGACCAACGAAAAUAUUCAUCGCGACCGCAACGACGACAAACAAAAUUGUUACAAAUAUUUCCUUGUGAAAAUACUUUAUUUUGCAAUUUUUUUCUUUCCUCGCGUGAUAU
This is a long non-coding RNA of Polistes canadensis, 791 nucleotides long. RefSeq lists it as uncharacterized. The record is from RefSeq and is a predicted model, not a curated record. The transcript is spliced from 4 exons. NCBI's taxonomy places the organism in Eukaryota, Metazoa, Arthropoda, Insecta, Hymenoptera, Vespidae.